RNAcentral lists this ribosomal RNA (450 nucleotides) under uncultured bacterium. RNAcentral describes it as "partial 16S ribosomal RNA". It matches the Rfam family "Bacterial small subunit ribosomal RNA", at positions 338 to 795 of the family's 1533-position model. The record is from RNAcentral.
CCUACGGGUGGCUGCAGUGGGGAAUAUUGGACAAUGGGCGCAAGCCUGAUCCAGCAAUGCCGCGUGUGUGAAGAAGGCCUGCGGGUUGUAAAGCACUUUUAGCAGGAAAGAAGGGGUGAAAGUUAAUACCUUUCAUCAUUGACGUUACCUGCAGAAUAAGCACCGGCUAACUCCGUGCCAGCAGCCGCGGUAAUACGGAGGGUGCGUACGUUAAUCGGAGUUACCGGGCGCGGUUUGAUCGUACCGGCGUGAAAGCCCUGGGCUUAACCUGGGAACUGCGGUGGAUACUGUCGGGCUAGAGUGUGGUAGAGGGGAGUGGAAUUUCCGGUGUAGCAGUGAAAUGCGUAGAGAUCGGAAGGAACACCAGUGGCGAAGGCGGCUCCCUGGACUAACACUGACGCUGAGGUGCGAAAGCGUGGGGAGCAAACAGGAUUAGAUACCCUAGUAGUC